AUAUUCCUGUACCACCUACAAGACUGAUGGAGUGACAAAGAAGGCUAAGCAAAGCCAAUUAUUGGAUUUUGGUCUAAGCACAAAGGCGUGUUGAGUAAGCAAAUCUAUCAACUGUAACGCUGAAGUGUGAUGGGGAAAAAGUUCUACGGAACUUCAACUUUGCUGAAGCCAUGCUUUCAAGAAAAACUUCUAGGGCUAAUCUUGUAGGUGCCUGUACUCAGAACCGACACUGGUAGUCAAGGAGAGAAUCCUAAGGUGAGCGAGAUAACUAUGGUUAAGGAACUCGGCAAAAUGACCCCGUAACUUCGGAAUAAGGGGAGGUGUAGCGAUACACCCUCAGGAAAUAGGUCCAGGCAACUGUUUACCAAAAACACAGGUCUCUGCUAAAGCGUAAGCUGAUGUAUAGGGGCUGACGCCUGCCCAGUGCUGGAAGGUUAAGAGGAGAUGUUAGUUGGACGCAAGUCGAUAACAACGAAGCUUCGAAUUGAAGCCCCAGUGAGCGGCGGCCGUAACAAUAACGGUCCUAAGGUAGCGAAAUUCCUUGUCAGGUAAGUUCUGACCCGCACGAAAGGCGUAAUGAUCUGGAUACUGUCUCAACCAUAGACUCGGUGAAAUCUUAAUACCUGUGAAAAUGCAGGUUACCCGCUACAGGACAAAAAGACCCCGUGGAGCUUUACUGCAACUUGAUAUUGGAAUCAGAUGUAUCAUGUAGAGGAUAGGUGGGAGACUUUGAAGUUAGGACGUCAGUUCUAAUGGAGUCAUCCUUGGAAUACCACCCUUGAUAUGUUUGAUUUCUAACUUGCGCCCAUUAUCUGGGUGGAGGACAGUGUCUGGUGGGCAGUUUGACUGGGGCGGUCGCCUCCCAAAGAGUAACGGAGGCGCCCAAAGGUUCCCUCAGAAUGGUUGGAAAUCAUUCGUAGAGUGUAAUGGCAGAAGGGAGCUUAACUGCGAGACCUACAAGUCAAGCAGAUGCGAAAGCAGGGCAUAGUGAUCUUGCGAUCCCGAAUGGAAGGGUCGUUGCUUAACGGAUAAAAGUUACCCCGGGGAUAACAGGCUGAUCCCACCCAAUAGUUCAUAUAGACGGUGGGGUUUGGCACCUCGAUGUCGGCUCGUCGUAUCCUGGAGGUGGAAUCGCUUCCAAGGGUUGGGCUGUUCGCCCAUUAAAACGGCACGCGAGCUGGGUUCAGAACGUCGUGAGACAGUUCGGUCUCUAUCCGUAGUGGGCGUUAGAAAAUUGAGGAGUGCUUUUCCUAGUACGAGAGGACCGGAAAGGACGAACCGAUGGUGUAUCUGUUGUCACGCCAGUGGCAGUGCAGAGUAGCUAUGUUCGGAAGGGAUAAUCGCUGAAGGCAUCUAAGCGAGAAGCCCUCUCCAAGAUGAGUUUUCUUUAUCUUCAAGAUAUAAGAUCCCUUGUAGACGACAAGGUUGAUAGGUUAGAUGUGUAAGCAUAGUGAUAUGUUGAGCUGACUAAUACUAAUAGAUCAACAAU
This 1489-nucleotide ribosomal RNA is filed under the name metagenome. RNAcentral's name for it is "bacterial LSU rRNA". It matches the Rfam family "Bacterial large subunit ribosomal RNA", at positions 1433 to 2925 of the family's 2925-position model. The record is from RNAcentral.